Molecule: transfer RNA, 69 nt
Filed under: Heros severus (banded cichlid)
Lineage: Eukaryota; Metazoa; Chordata; Actinopteri; Cichliformes; Cichlidae
Description: tRNA-Ser
Rfam family: tRNA
About the family: Transfer RNA (tRNA) molecules are approximately 80 nucleotides in length. Their secondary structure includes four short double-helical elements and three loops (D, anti-codon, and T loops).
Source: RNAcentral
AGGAAGUGGCAGAGUGGUUAUGCGACUGGCUUGAAACCAGUACACGGGGGUUCAAUUCCUCCCUUUCUC